Molecule: non-coding RNA, 74 nt
Organism: Podarcis lilfordi (Lilford's wall lizard)
Lineage: Eukaryota; Metazoa; Chordata; Lepidosauria; Squamata; Lacertidae
Source: the annotation of a GenBank genome assembly
CACAAAAUAGCUCAGAAGGUAAAGCAUGAAACUCUUGAUCUCAGGGUCAUAGGUUUGAGCCCCAUAUUGGGUGA